RNAcentral lists this ribosomal RNA (98 nucleotides) under Microcebus murinus (gray mouse lemur). The record is from RNAcentral. Lineage: Eukaryota; Metazoa; Chordata; Mammalia; Primates; Cheirogaleidae.
GUCUAUGGCCAUACCAACCUGAAUGUACCCGAUCUCAUCUGAUCUCAGAAGCUAAGCAGGGUCAGGGCUGGUUAGUACUUGGAUAGCAGUGAUAGGUU